UGGGGAAUUUUGGACAAUGGGCGCAAGCCUGAUCCAGCCAUGCCGCGUGCGGGAAGAAGGCCUUCGGGUUGUAAACCGCUUUUGUCAGGGAAGAAAUCUUCUGAGUUAAUACCUCGGGAGGAUGACGGUACCUGAAGAAUAAGCACCGGCUAACUACGUGCCAGCAGCCGCGGUAAUACGUAGGGUGCAAGCGUUAAUCGGAAUUACUGGGCGUGAAGCGUGCGCAGGCGGUUUUGUAAGACAGAGGUGAAAUCCCCGGGCUCAACCUGGGAACUGCCUUUGUGACUGCAAGGCUUGAGUGCGGCAGAGGGGGAUGGAAUUCCGCGUGUAGCAGUGAAAUGCGUAGAUAUGCGGAGGAACACCGAUGGCGAAGGCAAUCCCCUGGGCCUGCACUGACGCUCAUGCACGAAAGCGUGGGGAGCAAACAGGAUUAGAUACCCUGGUAGUCCACGCCCUAAACGAUGUCAACUGGUUGUUGGGAAGGUUCCUUCUCAGUAACGUAGCUAACGCGUGAAGUUGACCGCCUGGGGAGUACGGCCGCAAGGUUGAAACUUAAAUGAAUUGAC
This 566-nucleotide ribosomal RNA is filed under the name uncultured bacterium. Its description in RNAcentral is "partial 16S ribosomal RNA". It matches the Rfam family "Bacterial small subunit ribosomal RNA", at positions 355 to 914 of the family's 1533-position model. The record is from RNAcentral.